CAGUUCACGCACGAUCACCGAAGUUAAGCCACGUCGAGCCUGGUCAGUACCUAGAUGGGUGAACGUUUGAGAAUACUAGAUGCUGUAAG
This is a non-coding RNA of Acanthosepion pharaonis, 89 nucleotides long. The record is from the annotation of a GenBank genome assembly. Lineage: Eukaryota; Metazoa; Mollusca; Cephalopoda; Sepiida; Sepiidae.